GACCUCGGAUCAGGUAGGGAUACACGG
This 27-nucleotide ribosomal RNA is filed under the name Arthroderma gertleri. RNAcentral's name for it is "partial 28S ribosomal RNA". Lineage: Eukaryota; Fungi; Ascomycota; Eurotiomycetes; Onygenales; Arthrodermataceae. The record is from RNAcentral.